Molecule: long non-coding RNA, 307 nt
Filed under: Chinchilla lanigera (long-tailed chinchilla)
Lineage: Eukaryota; Metazoa; Chordata; Mammalia; Rodentia; Chinchillidae
Description: lncRNA (ENSCLAG00000028509.1)
Source: RNAcentral
GCAUUCCUCACCACUGAAGAAGCACUGGGCAGAGACAGGGGCAGCUCACAGUCCUGUCUUGAACCUGCUCAGACACUGUGAAGAUGAACAGAUUGAAGCCAUGAUGUCUCUCCUUUUCCUUCAGCUGAGAUGACACUGACCACGCUGCAUGGCCCAGCAGUGAGAAGUAAGAGUGAAAAAUAUCUAUCAGCAAACAAGCUUAUUGUUUCCACGAAGAAAUGGUACAUCUGCAAACUACUAUAAGACGGAUGAGAAAAAGCAAGUUUCUACAAAGGUGAAUAUAAAAUCUUCACUUGUAUCUAUAUGU